GCGCCAGACUCCUACGGGAGGCAGCAGUGGGGAAUAUUGCGCAAUGGGCGAAAGCCUGACGCAGCGACGCCGCGUGAGGGAUGGAGGUCUUCGGAUCGUAAACCUCUGUCAGCAGGGAAGAACGGUCACUGUGCUAAUCAGCAGUGAAUUGACGGUACCUGCAAAGGAAGCACCGGCUAACUCCGUGCCAGCAGCCGCGGUAAUACGGAGGGUGCGAGCGUUAUCCGGAUUUAUUGGGUUUAAAGGGUGCGUAGGCGGGAUGCCAAGUCAGCGGUAAAAAUGCGGUGCUCAACGCCGUCGAGCCGUUGAAACUGGCGUUCUUGAGUGGGCGAGAAGUAUGCGGAAUGCGUGGUGUAGCGGUGAAAUGCAUAGAUAUCACGCAGAACUCCGAUUGCGAAGGCAGCAUACCGGCGCCCUACUGACGCUGAGGCACGAAAGCGUGGGUAUCGAACAGGAUUAGAUACCCUAGUAU
RNAcentral lists this ribosomal RNA (472 nucleotides) under uncultured bacterium. RNAcentral describes it as "bacterial SSU rRNA". It matches the Rfam family "Bacterial small subunit ribosomal RNA", at positions 328 to 793 of the family's 1533-position model. The record is from RNAcentral.